Vicia villosa (hairy vetch) is the source of this 809-nucleotide long non-coding RNA. RefSeq lists it as uncharacterized. The record is from RefSeq and is a predicted model, not a curated record. Lineage: Eukaryota; Viridiplantae; Streptophyta; Magnoliopsida; Fabales; Fabaceae. The transcript has 3 exons.
UUGAAACUUCAUCAAAUUGAUGAUGCAGAAUUAAUUUUGUCACAUGCUCCGAAAUCGGAUCCACAAAUUAAUCAUUCACCUUUUGAAGCAAUAUAUUUUGGGAUGUUUGCUGAAGCUUAUUCCUUCUAUGUCAGAACACAGAUUCAGAUCGCAUUCGGAAGGUUUGAGAAUGCGGUUACAUCUGUAGAGAAGGCAAAUCAUAUUGAUCUCCAAAAUAUUGAAAUUGCUGGAAAAUGAUUUUAUAUUUUUUUCUUUUGCAUUUAAACGUGUGCAAACCAUGAUUUAAAUAUGUACAAGGCAUGUUUUUACCAGUUACUUUUAUGUCAUGUUUUUCUUAUGUACUCAACAUUUAUUGUUUAGGGUUGUUGAAUCUGAUGAAGUUUCUGUUUGGUUUUGCAGUUUUGUAACGAGUAUGUUGUUCCAAGGUAUAUAAUGGGUAUUGUUAAGAAAGUCACUGCUGGAAAAUGAUUUUAUAUUUUUUUCUUUUGCAUUUAAACGUGUGCAAACCAUGAUUUAAAUAUGUACAAGGCAUGUUUUUACCAGUUACUUUUAUGUCAUGUUUUUCUUAUGUACUCAACAUUUAUUGUUUAGGGUUGUUGAAUCUGAUGAAGUUUCUGUUUGGUUUUGCAGUUUUGUAACGAGUAUGUUGUUCCAAGGGUUCAAGAGGGAACUUUAUGUUGUUUUUUUAAGAAACAUCAUUUGACAGAAAAAUGGUGGAAAAGGAUAGUUAGCCUUGAAAUGCACUCAAUUCUUCCUAUUUAUUUCACUCAAUUCUUCCUACUUUGAGGGAUAUUUAUUGUUAGUUUGAU